This 302-nucleotide ribosomal RNA is filed under the name uncultured bacterium. Its description in RNAcentral is "partial 16S ribosomal RNA". It matches the Rfam family "Bacterial small subunit ribosomal RNA", at positions 508 to 807 of the family's 1533-position model. The record is from RNAcentral.
GCAGUAGCCGCGGUAAUACGUAGGGUGCAAGCGUUAAUCGGAAUUACUGGGCGUAAAGCGUGCGCAGGCGGUUUGCUAAGACAGAUGUGAAAUCCCCGGGCUUAACCUGGGAACUGCAUUUGUGACUGGCGGGCUAGAGUAUGGCAGAGGGGGGUAGAAUUCCACGUGUAGCAGUGAAAUGCGUAGAGAUGUGGAGGAAUACCGAUGGCGAAGGCAGCCCCCUGGGCCAAUACUGACGCUCAUGCACGAAAGCGUGGGGAGCAAACAGGAUUAGAUACCCCGGUAGUCCCUGUCUCUUAUAC